RNAcentral lists this ribosomal RNA (659 nucleotides) under Euderopus sp. G0098. RNAcentral's name for it is "partial 28S large subunit ribosomal RNA". It matches the Rfam family "Eukaryotic large subunit ribosomal RNA", at positions 656 to 1270 of the family's 3401-position model. The record is from RNAcentral. Lineage: Eukaryota; Metazoa; Arthropoda; Insecta; Coleoptera; Biphyllidae.
GAAACACGGACCAAGGAGUCUAGCAUGUGCGCGAGUCAUUGAGAAAUUAUCUAAACUUAAAGGCGAAAUGAAAGUGAAGGUCCGUCUCGCACGGACCUAGGGAAGAUGGGUGGUCCAACGUGGCUGCCCCGCAUUCCCGGGGCGUCUCGUUCUCAUCGCGAGGAGAGGCGCACCAAGAGCGUACACGCUGGGACCCGAAAGAUGGUGAACUAUGCCUGGUCAGGACGAAGUCAGGGGAAACCCUGAUGGAGGUCCGUAGCGAUUCUGACGUGCAAAUCGAUCGUCGGAACUGGGUAUAGGGGCGAAAGACUAAUCGAACCAUCUAGUAGCUGGUUCCCUCCGAAGUUUCCCUCAGGAUAGCUGGCGCUCGUCGCGGACGAGUCUCAUCCGGUAAAGCGAAUGAUUAGAGGCAUUGGGGUCGAAACGGCCUCAACCUAUUCUCAAACUUUAAAUGGGUGAGAUCUCCGGCUUGCUCGAACUGUUGAAGCCGCGAGAAACACGGAUCAGAGUGCCAAGUGGGCCAUUUUUGGUAAGCAGAACUGGCGCUGUGGGAUGAACCAAACGCAGAGUUAAAGCGCCUAAAUCGACGCUUAUGGGAUACCAUGAAAGGCGUUGGUAACUUAAGACAGCAGGACGGUGGCCAUGGAAGUCGGAAUCCG